This 3846-nucleotide ribosomal RNA is filed under the name Triticum aestivum (bread wheat). RNAcentral describes it as "partial small subunit ribosomal RNA". The stretch from base 1497 to 1611 matches the Rfam family "MIR1120/MIR1122 microRNA precursor family". The record is from RNAcentral. Lineage: Eukaryota; Viridiplantae; Streptophyta; Magnoliopsida; Poales; Poaceae.
UUCCUCCUCCUCCUUCCCCGUUUCGUCGCCUCCACUCCACCAGUCCACCGCCGCCCCCGCCCCCGCCGCCGCCUAGGGCAGAGGGGCUGCCCAUGGAGCUCUCCAGGAUCCGGACCUUCGAGAAGCGCCUCCUCCGGCCGCUCCUCUCCCUGCCCGCGCGCUCCCGGGCGUUCCAGACCCUGGCCCGCUCCACCCCUCCGCCGCCCUGCGCCCCCUCCCUCCUCCUCCUGCUCCGCACGCGCCACCUCGCGCCCCAUCCCCAUCCCCCACGCCGCGCCUCGCUCCCGCCCCUCCGCUCCUUCGCGUCCGUCUCCCCGGCCCCGUCGGCCCCCGGGAAGGACCUCCAGGGCAGCAACGGCAACGACGACGACGACGGCCUCCCGCCCGCGCCCCUCCCGCCGCCGCCCGAGGAGCUCGGUUCCGACGACGACGCCUACUACCAGGAGCAGCUGCUCGAGUACGCGCAAGAGGACGAGGCCCGCCUCGUCCCCGUCAAGGCCUACUUCCCCUGCACCAGCAUCAACCUCAAGAGCCUCCAGUCGCAGAACUCCUUCAAUGUCAUCCCGCCUACUUCGCGUGCCACCAAUUAUGUCGUCCUCAGAUACUAUGAUGUCAAGGGAGACCCAGAGGGUUUUAAGACUGGUGUCAUAGAUGAGAGCCAUUGCCACUAUAUGGUAGUUUUCCAAUAUGGGUCCAUCGUGCUGUUCAAUGUUUCUGACCAUGAAGCAGAUGGAUACCUAAAAAUUGUCGAGAGGCAUGCUUCAGGGUUACUGCCAGAGAUGAGGAAAGAUGAUUACGCCGUUGUUGAGAGGCCUGCCAUGGAGAAGUGGAUGGAGGGUGGACUUGAUUUUAUUAUACUUAAGGAUCUGAGUAUCGAUGGUAUUCGGACAAUUGGAAGUGUACUUGGUCAGAGUAUCGCUCUUGACUAUUAUAUCCGGCAAGUGGAUGGAAUGGUUGCCGAGUUCACGGAUAUAAAUCGUGGAAUGGAGAAAACUGGUACCUUCACUAUGGAGAGGAAAAAGCUUUUCCAGUUAGUCGGAAAGGCUAACUCUAACUUGGCAGAUGUCAUUCUUAAGCUUGGACUUUUUGAGAGGUCAGACAUUGCUUGGAAGAACGCAAACUAUGCGCAGAUCUGGGAGUUCCUCCGGGACGAGUACGAGCUAACCCAAAGAUUCGGAAACCUUGAUUUCAAGUUGAAAUUUGUUGAGCACAACAUCCGGUUCCUCCAGGAGAUCCUCCAGAACAGGAAGUCGGACUUCCUGGAGUGGCUGAUCAUCAUCCUCAUCAGCGUGGAGAUCUUGAUAUCCGUGUACAACAUUGUCCAGGAGCAGAUGUAGAGCGAUAGCGUGAGACCAAUACGUCGUUGUUGAGAGUGAGCGAGACCAUCGUCAGAGCCACGAACGAACCACACUGUUUUGUCCGCGAGUUUUUUGGUUCCAUUUCUUCCCCCCGGUAGAAGCCCCUGUAAAGAAUUCGUAAUUCGGACCAUGAAUGAUCAUGUACUCCCUCCGUUCGGAAUUACUUGUCUUGGAUAUGGAUGUAUCUAAAACUAAAAUACAUCUAGAUACAUCCAUUUCUGUGACAAGUAAUUCUGAACGGAGGAAGUAGCUUUAGCGCACUUGCUUUGUCCGGACGGUGGUCGUGCUGCCGCUGUUGUCUGGCGCAAGUGUGAACUGCGGAUGAGUCAGUGAGUGUGGCCGAGGUAGUAACUGGGCGGCGUGUGACUGGCACGCGAUGGCGACGGCUCCUGUUGGCGUUCGUGGCUGGAACUUGAAAGGUAGGCGUGUGAUUGAUUGAUCGGGCGAUGUUGGCUUGACGGGGCGCGUGCAGGGCAUAAGCCACGUUCACAUUCUGACAACCGCCGGAACCUUUUUUCUAUGGGAAUGGGCUUGGAAUUAUACCAUGGAUCCAAUCUGCCGGGGAAUCGUUUGGUUUUUUUUCGGGGAUUGUUGAUUAUAUACUAAAUAAUAAUGUACACUAACAUUAUACUACUCCCCCCGUUCCUAAAUAUUUGUCUUUUUAGACAUUUCAAAUGAUUAACACAUACGGAUGUAUGUAGACAUAUUUUAAAGUGUAGAUUCAUUCAUUUUACUUCGUAUGCAGUCACUUGUUAAAAUGCCUAGAAAGACAAGUAUUUAGGAACGGAGGAGGGAGUAUUAUUUACUAGUAAAUCAUAUCCAUUAGCCAUUUAGCCACUUGCUCCCUUGAUUAAUCCGGCCGGACGGCGAGUGGGGCAGCCAGAUGCAUGCCUCGCCGGCCUGUCGUUGGCUCGUCGUCGCCCACUCCCUCCUCACCUCAGCCCCUAGCGAAAAUAGCCAAGCGCUCUGGCUGACUGACCGGCCGACGUGGCCGGCCCAAUCCUGGCCCACCACCUGGCGCCCCUCCCCGGCGGAAUCUCCCGUGUUCACACUCCCGAAUUACCCAAACACCCUCCUCCACCGGCGACCACACGAGGGCAGAACCGUCCCUCGCAACUUCCAAGCACGCCCGUGCGACCCGUCCGCCCUCGUGGCCGCACGAUCCCCAGAUCCAGCGGCCGCGGUCGCUCUACCAGAAGCUUCCGGCCCGGUGUAUAUAAGCGCGAGAGGGCCAGUGGCCUCCAUCGUCUUCACCCCCGCUCCUCCUCCCCCACCCCACACACACCGCACGCGUUUGACAUUUUCCGCCCACCACCACCGGAGGGAGCGAGCUCCAGCCAUGGCCGCCAAGUGCUACCCGACGGUCAGCGACGAGUACCUGGCGGCGGUCGCCAAGGCCAAGCGCAAGCUCCGCGGCUUCAUCGCCGAGAAGAACUGCGCGCCCCUCAUGCUCCGCCUCGCGUGGCACUCGGCCGGGACCUUCGACGUGGCCACCAAGACCGGCGGCCCCUUCGGCACCAUGAAGUGCCCCGCGGAGCUCGCGCACGGCGCCAACGCCGGCCUCGACAUCGCCGUCAGGCUGCUCGAGCCCAUCAAGGAGCAGUUCCCCAUCCUCUCCUACGCCGACUUCUACCAGCUCGCUGGAGUCGUCGCCGUCGAGGUGACCGGCGGGCCUGAGGUCCCCUUCCACCCGGGGAGACAGGACAAGCCCGAGCCUCCUCCAGAAGGCCGUCUUCCUGAUGCUACCCAAGGCUCUGACCACCUCAGGCAGGUGUUUUCCACUCAGAUGGGUUUGAGUGACCAGGACAUUGUUGCUCUUUCUGGUGGUCACACCCUGGGAAGAUGCCACAAGGAGAGGUCCGGCUUUGAGGGAGCCUGGACUGCCAACCCUUUGAUCUUCGACAACUCUUACUUCACUGAGCUCCUUUGUGGGGAGAAGGAAGGCCUUCUUCAGUUGCCGACCGACAAGACCCUCCUGACUGACCCGGCCUUCCGCCCACUUGUGGACAAAUAUGCUGCGGAUGAGGAUGCUUUCUUUGCUGACUACGCUGAGGCACACCUCAAGCUAUCCGAAUUGGGAUUUGGCGAGGCUGUUGAGGGCUGCUGCUGAUUCAAGCUCGGCGCCUGAAGGUCGUUAAUGGAGAAGAAGAAGAAGAUCAUGAAGAAGAAGAGCAAUAAGGAUGUCAUGUGUUUGUCUGGACUUGGAUUAGAUGGGUCGGUCGAUGGGGUGUUGCAUUGUUUUGCUUUGACGCCUCGUGUCUUGUGAUGGGCGUGCUUGUAGUAUGAACUGCCAAGUGUUAUGUAGUUCCUUUCCGGUUGAAUUGUUAUUCCCUGUCGAGGACGAAACGGAGAUUUGGUUGCCCUCAUUUGGCCAUUGAGCUCAUGUCAUUGUUUGUUUUACCAGCUUGUUGUCGUGCCUGUCCGCUAGUUCUGUGUUGGCCUGGUUCUUUCUCGCAUUGUCGUCUAUGGAGCUGCAAAUUCUUCACGG